Small nuclear RNA from Octodon degus (degu), 165 nucleotides. Its record names the gene U1. It matches the Rfam family "U1 spliceosomal RNA". From Rfam's summary of the family: U1 is a small nuclear RNA (snRNA) component of the spliceosome (involved in pre-mRNA splicing). Its 5' end forms complementary base pairs with the 5' splice junction, thus defining the 5' donor site of an intron. Lineage: Eukaryota; Metazoa; Chordata; Mammalia; Rodentia; Octodontidae. The record is from Ensembl.
AUACUUACCCGGCAGGGGAGAUACCAUGAUCACGAAGGUGGUUUUCCCAAGGCAAAGUUUAUCUAUUGAACUCCGGAUGAGCUAAACCCUGCGAUUUCCCCAAAUGCGUUGAAUCUCCACUACAUAAUUUGUGGUAGUGGGGGACUGCUUUCGUGCUUUGUCCUG